UUAAACAUUUAUGGCUAUUAGAUGGGUAUGCGUCCUAUUAGUUAGUUGGUAAGGUAACGGCUUACCAAGGCAGCGAUAGGUAGGGGUCCUGAGAGGGAGAUCCCCACACUGGUACUGAGACACGGACCAGACUCCUACGGGAGGCAGCAGUGAGGAAUAUUGGACAAUGGGCGAGAGCCUGAUCCAGCCAUGCCGCGUGCAGGAAGACUGCCCUAUGGGUUGUAAACUGCUUUUACAGAGGAAGAACCACCCCCACGUGUGGGGGUUUGACGGUACUCUGCGAAUAAGGAUCGGCUAACUCCGUG
This 305-nucleotide ribosomal RNA is filed under the name uncultured bacterium. RNAcentral's name for it is "bacterial SSU rRNA". It matches the Rfam family "Bacterial small subunit ribosomal RNA", at positions 201 to 507 of the family's 1533-position model. The record is from RNAcentral.